Misgurnus anguillicaudatus (oriental weatherfish) is the source of this 411-nucleotide non-coding RNA. The record is from RefSeq and is a predicted model, not a curated record. Lineage: Eukaryota; Metazoa; Chordata; Actinopteri; Cypriniformes; Cobitidae.
UGACUGACAGACAACAACGGUUUGACCUAAAAACAUCAAAAGUUGAACUACCACGGAAACAAAGACACCUACAUCUUGGAUGCCCUUGAGUCAGCGAUGUUAGCAGGUGGGAUGCACUGUUCCAGGAACAGAUCUUCAUCUUCAUCAAAGUUCAUGUCCUCUGGGGGCCAGCGAAGCUCACCACUCUCCACUUCACUAACAUCAGUGGGCUCCACCACAAUAGACGGCAAGCGUUCCUUCCCUGGUUGUACACAUGUAAGAGUCCCGUCUGAACCCAAAACUACAUCCACUGGGUCUGGAAAGAUCUGCAAAAUAAACAAGAAACAAAGGGAAUGACUACAAAAACCCCACACAUUGGAUCCUGCUGAAAUCUGUCUGAGUAAUGUAAUUAAAUACAAUCAGUGAACAAUU